Long non-coding RNA from Trachymyrmex cornetzi, 463 nucleotides. RefSeq lists it as uncharacterized. The record is from RefSeq and is a predicted model, not a curated record. The transcript is spliced from 3 exons. Lineage: Eukaryota; Metazoa; Arthropoda; Insecta; Hymenoptera; Formicidae.
AAUAGUUCAGAGUAUGUGGAUAGAUUAGAAACAGUUGAGAGGAUUAAUUUUUUAUUUAUUAUAUAAAAGAGAAAUUGAUCAAAAGAAAUCGCCGAUGAGGCGUCACAAUUUACAUAAAUUUUGUGGAAGAUCAAUUUUUUGAGCAUUUGUCAGGAAAUUUUCCGAGAAAUUUUAUGCUGUAUCAAUGUUAAUUAUUAUCAAUUAAACAUUGUAUCAGCAGCAAUGAAAAAUUUAAAUUUAGUCUUGUUAAACCUAAGGGGAAUUCUUAAAUAUUAUAAACUAUAAUUAAUUCUGUGCAUAUUAGAAAAUUAUAACAGAAUAAUUAUAUUAAUUUUUUGAGACAUUUUGUCAGUUUUUCAGAAAUUUGUUCUGAUAGGUAAAAUUACAUUAUUAGAUUUUUAAUAGCGAUCACUCGUAUUACUAUAUUGCAAAAUGUAACAUACAAGUGAAUAAAAAAUUUUAG